CCCUUAGAUGUUCUGGGCCGCACGCGCGCUACACUGAUCGGUGCAACAAGCAUCCGUCCUUGGCCGACAGGCCCGGGCAAUCUUUGAACGCCGGUCGUGAUGGGGAUAGACCUUUGCAAUUUUUGGUCUUCAACGAGGAAUUCCUAGUAAACGCAAGUCAUCAACUUGCAUUGAUUACGUCCCUGCCCUUUGUACACACCGCCCGUCGCACCUACCGAUUGAAUGGUCCGGUGAAACCUCCGGAUUGGCGCGUGCCCUCGGGCGCCGCCGAGAAGUUGGUUAAACCUUACCAUUUAGAGGAAGGUGAAGUCGUAACA
RNAcentral lists this ribosomal RNA (317 nucleotides) under uncultured eukaryote. RNAcentral's name for it is "partial 18S ribosomal RNA". It matches the Rfam family "Eukaryotic small subunit ribosomal RNA", at positions 1470 to 1796 of the family's 1831-position model. The record is from RNAcentral.